AAAUGUAAGUAGAAGCACCCGCUUCUCGCCUCGUGGUUAACGCUGCCUGGCCGAUACGUAAAUAAACCAAGCCUGAGAAAGGUUUGGGUAUUUAACGGGUGCGCAUUGCGUGCCCGUUAUUUGUUUGGGUA
This is a regulatory RNA element of 131 nucleotides. It matches the Rfam family "Ribosomal protein L20 leader". Rfam says of the family: This family is a putative r-protein leader autoregulatory structure found in B. subtilis and other low-GC Gram-positive bacteria. It is located in the 5' untranslated regions of mRNAs encoding initiation factor 3 followed by ribosomal proteins L35 and L20 (infC-rpmI-rplT). The record is from Rfam.